AACGAACGCUGGCGGCAUGCCUAACACAUGCAAGUCGAACGGGAUCCUAGCUUGCUAGGUGAGAGUGGCGGACGGGUGAGUAACACGUGGGAAUCUGCCUUUUGGUUCGGGAUAACCGCGGGAAACUGCGGCUAAUACCGAAUGCCCUCGAGAGAGGAAAGAUUUAUCGCCAGAAGAGGAGCCCGCGUCCGAUUAGGUAGUUGGUGGGGUAAAGCCUACAAGCCGACGAUCGGUAGCUGGUCUGAGAGGAUGAUCAGCCACACUGGGACUGAGAUACGGCCCAGACUCCUACGGAGGCAGCAGUGGGGAAUAUUGGACAAUGGGGCAACCCUGAUCCAGCAAUG
Molecule: ribosomal RNA, 344 nt
Filed under: uncultured bacterium
Lineage: Bacteria
Description: bacterial SSU rRNA
Rfam family: Bacterial small subunit ribosomal RNA
Source: RNAcentral